RNAcentral lists this ribosomal RNA (440 nucleotides) under uncultured bacterium. RNAcentral describes it as "partial 16S ribosomal RNA". It matches the Rfam family "Bacterial small subunit ribosomal RNA", at positions 338 to 795 of the family's 1533-position model. The record is from RNAcentral.
CCUACGGGCGGCAGCAGUGGGGAAUAUUGCACAAUGGGGGAAACCCUGAUGCAGCGACGCCGCGUGAGUGAAGAAGUAAUUCGGUAUGUAAAGCUCUAUCAGCAGGGAAGAAAAUGACGGUACCUGAGUAAGAAGCCCCGGCUAACUACGUGCCAGCAGCCGCGGUAAUACGUAGGGGGCAAGCGUUAUCCGGAUUUACUGGGUGUAAAGGGAGCGUAGACGGCAGGGCAAGUCUGGAGUGAAAGGCGGGGGCUCAACCCCCGGACUGCUCUGGAAACUGUACGGCUGGAGUGCAGGAGAGGUAAGUGGAAUUCCUAGUGUAGCGGUGAAAUGCGUAGAUAUUAGGAGGAACACCAGGGGCGAAGGCGGCUUACUGGACUGUAACUGACGUUGAGGCUCGAAAGCGUGGGGAGCAAACAGGAUUAGAUACCCUGGUAGUC